Molecule: small nucleolar RNA, 215 nt
Organism: Micropterus dolomieu (smallmouth bass)
Lineage: Eukaryota; Metazoa; Chordata; Actinopteri; Centrarchiformes; Centrarchidae
Product: small nucleolar RNA U3
Exons: 1
Source: RefSeq, a predicted model, not a curated record
AAGACUAUGCUUUCAGGGACCAUUUCUAUAGUUUCUGACUUGAGAAAUGUGUUUCUAAAGGGUUUGGUCUUGCUGGCCGCAAUGAUGAGUUGUGAUGUUCUUUUUUUUGAGCAAGAAGAUAGAGGGUAAUGAUUCACUUCAUAUGCUCUCUAUCAGUGAUAACCGUUUGUUGCUACUUUAGGGAGUGAUGAGGAAGGGAACAUGGACUGAGUGGA